GACGAACGCUGGCGGCGUGCUUAACACAUGCAAGUCGAACGGAAAGGCCCUGCUUUUGUGGGGUGCUCGAGUGGCGAACGGGUGAGUAACACGUGAGUAACCUGCCCUUGACUUUGGGAUAACUUCAGGAAACUGGGGCUAAUACCGGAUAGGAGCUCCUGCUGCAUGGUGGGGGUUGGAAAGUUUCGGCGGUUGGGGAUGGACUCGCGGCUUAUCAGCUUGUUGGUGGGGUAGUGGCUUACCAAGGCUUUGACGGGUAGCCGGCCUGAGAGGGUGACCGGCCACAUUGGGACUGAGAUACGGCCCAGACUCCUACGGGAGGCAGCAGUGGGGAAUAUUGCACAAUGGGCGGAAGCCUGAUGCAGCAACGCCGCGUGCGGGAUGACGGCCUUCGGGUUGUAAACCGCUUUCGCCUGUGGCGAAGCGUGAGUGACGGUAAUGGGGAAAGAAGCACCGGCUAACUACGU
This 467-nucleotide ribosomal RNA is filed under the name uncultured bacterium. Its description in RNAcentral is "partial 16S ribosomal RNA". It matches the Rfam family "Bacterial small subunit ribosomal RNA", at positions 28 to 506 of the family's 1533-position model. The record is from RNAcentral.